Molecule: long non-coding RNA, 1065 nt
Filed under: Olea europaea (common olive)
Lineage: Eukaryota; Viridiplantae; Streptophyta; Magnoliopsida; Lamiales; Oleaceae
Description: long non-coding RNA (OEUR_LNC013568)
Source: RNAcentral
UCCAAAUUUGGACGCUCAAUUAGAACUUUAAACUCAAAUGUCGUGAACCUUGUGCCUCUAUUAUCAAGUACAAACCACUCAAGUACCCGAUUGUUUCUUUUUAAACAUUCAUAUGAGUAGGAAUGAUACACAUAACUAUCAUACUCUAGGCACACCUAGGUGAUUGGUUUUGUUUGAUUAUUAUGAUGAAUAGACUCGUGUCAAUUUCAGAUGCUCAAAAGUCAGUGCAUUAGUUUUAACUCAAUUAUUAAUUCUCUUCCACAGUAAUUGGAAGAUGAUGGAUGUAUUCUGCAAUUGUCUUAAUUUCACAAAAUUGUAAGAUAGCCAUGUGGUAAUAUAAUACUAGCAAUAGCUCUCCUUGAAAUGAGGUGAUCCAGUUGCACCUUCCAGCAUGGCUAGUUACGACUUCACUUAAGUCCAUAGAAAUUAGCAAUGAAGUAAUUUAUCAAGAUAUGUAUGUUCAUAAGGAUAAUCUACCACACUGAAAAACCAAAAGAAGAAUAUUGCUUAAAGGAAUGGUGUUUGGGAGCCAACUUCAGAAGUACUUGUGCAAGAAGCAUUAUCUGAGUUGCAAUCUAGAUUCAAGAGUCGAGUUACAACUCAAGCCUUUUGACAGCUCUUUAAGAAUCUAAACUCCCAAGUGUGCUCUCUAGAGUUCGUGCUUGGUUUGGAAUUCGUACAGAUCUAACUUACCGCAAACAAAGGAAGUAGACCAAUCGACUAAACUAAAGGUCGGCCAAUCUACUAAGGCAAAAAUACACAACUCUGGGGAGUUUAUUCCUCCAAGAUUACCUUGUACUGUUGUACAUUUCAUGUUUUUAUUCAUGUUUUCAGACUUCGGGAUAAUGGAAACCUUUGAAUGCAAUAUUCAAAUAUACACAAAUGGCAUUUCCAUAAAACGGGAAAGAAGAAGAAAAACUGUACAUGUUCAAAAUGGAUUUACUCUCUUUUCCUCCUCCAUCCGCAAUACUGCUUAGAAGCUGGAAAAUUUAAAAGACGAACACAUUCUUAUAAACACGAUGUCUGAAGUUGUCACACUGAAGUUAUUGUAGGGUUCUUUUCCAA